UAUUUUGUUUAACAAGAGG
Molecule: small nuclear RNA, 19 nt
Filed under: Arabidopsis thaliana (thale cress)
Lineage: Eukaryota; Viridiplantae; Streptophyta; Magnoliopsida; Brassicales; Brassicaceae
Description: snRNA_03637
Source: RNAcentral